RNAcentral lists this ribosomal RNA (253 nucleotides) under uncultured bacterium. RNAcentral's name for it is "partial 16S ribosomal RNA". It matches the Rfam family "Bacterial small subunit ribosomal RNA", at positions 524 to 776 of the family's 1533-position model. The record is from RNAcentral.
UACGAAGGGGGCUAGCGUUGUUCGGAAUCACUGGGCGUAAAGGGCGCGUAGGCGGCCGAUCAAGUCGGGGGUGAAGGCCUGUGGCUCAACCACAGAAUUGCCUUCGAUACUGUUUGGCUUGAGACCGGAAGAGGUUAGUGGAACUGCGAGUGUAGAGGUGAAAUUCGUAGAUAUUCGCAAGAACACCAGUGGCGAAGGCGGCUGACUGGUCCGGUUCUGACGCUGAGGCGCGAAAGCGUGGGGAGCAAACAGG